UGCCCCAUGCUUCUGUUUCCAGGAGCGUCACAUGGUCAUGCACCGUCGAACCCACACCGGAGAGAAACCGUACGCCUGCAGCCAGUGUGAGAAGACCUUCAGACAGAAGCAGUUGCUGGACAUGCACUUCAGACGCUACCACGACCCCAACUUCGUCCCCACCGCCUUUGUCUGCCCCAAGUGCAGCAAGACCUUCACUCGCAGGAACACCAUGGCUCGCCACUCUGAAAACUGCAACGGUGAGGUGGAUGAUGCCGAGAAUGGAUCUCCAACCCCGAAGAAAGGGAGGAGAGGAAGGAAGAGGAAGAUGAGGACCAGGAGAGAUGAGGAUGACAGCGAGGAGGAUCAUGGAGAACUGGAUGAGGAGGACGAGGGUGAGGGUGAGGAAGAAGAACUGCUACAAGAAGAGGAGCAGCUAGAGGACAUGGAACUGGACCAGGCCCCUGCUGCCAUCCCAGUCCCGGCUCCUGACGAGCCACCAGUCAAGAGAAAACGAGGCCGACCCCCAAAGAACACCCCCAAGCCCCCAACACCCAGCAAGUCUGCCCAGGUGGCUGCCAAGGCUGCCGCUUCUGCUGCUGCCAUCAUUCAGGUGGAGGACGAGAGCACCGGAGCGGUGGAGAACAUCAUCGUGAAGAAGGAAGAGGGCGACGGCUCUGCAGCCCCCCUGGAGCAGGAGGGAGCCCUGACGGUGGAGGGGCUGGACGGGGGGGGGUUGGAGACUGUGGAGCUGGCUGUGAACGAGGAGACAGCGGUCGCCGCCAACGGAGACCUAACGCCAGAGAUGAUCCUCAGCAUGAUGGACCGGUGAACCCCCACGCCGGACCAUGAGUGAAACUGGCAAACACAUAAACAUUUCCACCCCCCCGGCCUCCCCCUUAUAUAGCACCUACGGCAGAUCCUAAUGGUGGCCAUUAAAGUGGCUGCUAAACCAACCAUGCAAAAGAAGGGAAGCCGCACGUAAAUACGCACUAAAAUAACUUCACAUCCAUGUACACGACACACUGAUGUCUGUGGGUCUCAGUUACACACACAGCAAAGCUCACACAGAUGUCCUCCCAGGCUGCUCUGCUCUUAUUUCAGUUUGAAUGUCUUCUGAAUGAAUCAUCGUGUAUUUAAUACUUUGUUCUACCCAAAGCCACUUCCUGUCAGUCUCUAACCAAACUCUGCAGCUACUGCUCAGCUCUGAGAAUGAUUUGAUCACAUUUCACUUUGAUUUCCUGCUUGCUGUUCUUACAACUAUGCUGAUAUAGCAAAUUUGCAGCAUUUAUAUUUGUAUAUAUAGAUUUAAAUGUAGUUUUUCCUAAUGAAAUGUAGUAUAUGGUACUUGGGUUGAGAAACACCUUGCUUUCAGUCAUAUGGGCUGUAUAUUUUUGGCUUGUUUAACACUUUGUCCAUGUUUUGGUAUUUCAAUAUUGAGGCUUUUAUAGAAUGAAGUUACGGGGAUUUUUCUUCAUUCAUGAGCAAACGUGCAGAUCCAUAUAAAUGAACAGAAGUCAGUGAUAUAGAAUGAUUCAACUUUCUACUUCAUCUUUUUGACAUUCACACUGUCAAAGUUGAUUCACUUUCCCCAUCAACAACAUCAUUCUUUUUCAACAGUUUUUAUUUUGGCUGACCUCGAUGCUCGAAGGAAUUGUUAAUGUUCGUCCUCCUCGUGUUCCGAGCUUUGACAGAGGCUGUCCUCCACCAGAUGAGCCCCUCUAACCAGCCAAACUGGAUGGAACUCAUCUGAACCACUAUCAGUUUCUGAGUGUUUUCUGUUGUUCAAAGAUGUGUUCAGAUACAAAACAGUUUUUACUUUGACAUUUUUCAUUUCUGAUCAUUUUGUAGUUGCUUAAUGCUGAUACUGAGAUAUGUCCUCUCCAUGUCCCUGAUUUAUGCAAAACAAAGGUUUCAAAUCAUCUGAAUCAAGGUUAGAACAAAGAGAUCACCGUAUGAUUUGAGUCGUCUGAAGAUGUAAAUCCAGAGGUAUUUCUUCUCAGUGUGACCACAGGCUCUGAUGGUUGAAUGUGGCCUUCCUUUUAUAAUAUGUUAUAGUUACAUAGAACCAUUGGUUAGAUCAGCCCAGCACUGUAAAUAACCAUUGCAACAGAAAGAUAGUAAACAUUUUGUAAGAAUCUUUAAACAAACAACAAUUGUGUGACUGUGGUCUGAGAUACAUGUCAUUCUGUAAAAGGAGAAUAAAAUGUCCUGUCGUCAUCGUUAUCAUCGUUAUCAUUAUGUUCUGCAGGCGGACGGACGGGAGAUGGAUGUUAAGACUGUUUGCAUAGCAACAACAGCAUUGUUUUUUUGUUUGCACACUGCUUAUUUGUUUCGGCAGAAUAAGUUAAAGAGAAAAGUUUUAAAGAUGUUUAACACAUCCCUGUUUUCAGACUGAGAGAACAGGAGAAACCUUAGUCAUGUCAUUAUGGAAGAUGAGACACUGUACAGCUGAUAAAGAAUUAAAUCAGCCCAUGUGCCCAUGUC
RNA transcript from Notothenia coriiceps (black rockcod), 2466 nucleotides. It is a transcript of the gene named transcriptional repressor CTCF-like, with no coding region annotated. NCBI's taxonomy places the organism in Eukaryota, Metazoa, Chordata, Actinopteri, Perciformes, Nototheniidae. The record is from RefSeq and is a predicted model, not a curated record. The transcript has 5 exons.